GGCCUCCAAGUCUGCUAAUCUCUGACUAGCUGCCUAAUGUUCUCUGCCAGAGAGUUGACACCUUGAAGUCUUUUAGGAGAUGGAUGGGCAGUCAUCUGACUGCUCCUGAUUGACAGCUUUAGGGCGUCUGUUCUUGCUGAUUUUCAGGUACUGGAAGGUGGAGUUCAAUUGCUACUGGAUUAUCAGAGUGUCAGUGGGCUGCAAACAAGGCAGUAGUUGAGUACAGGAGGCUCAGAGAUUAAUAGAUGAAUAGAUCACUACUAGAUUUUAACAGACUAAACCCAUUUUUACGACAAAGAUCCAGGUUUAGAGCUGUUCACGGAUUGGAUGGUGCUAUUGGGGGUGGCCGUAGUCUGAGUCGUUAGACUGAGUUGCAGAUAAGAGCAGAAUUAUUAUAAAGAUCUGAGUUGCUGACAAGAGCAGAGUUAUCGGAAAUAUAUGAACAGCAGCAUGACCAUGUCAGGAAAAACACGAGGCUCUUUUGACUUGGUUACAGCUUGGGUGGCCAUGACCCCUCCACCUGGCACAUCAGCAGCCCUUCUGGAGACAGAAAUCAUGGAGUUUGGUAUUCUCUCCUUAAUCCAACAUGGG
This 591-nucleotide long non-coding RNA is filed under the name Mus spicilegus (steppe mouse). Its description in RNAcentral is "lncRNA (ENSMSIG00000024916.1)". Lineage: Eukaryota; Metazoa; Chordata; Mammalia; Rodentia; Muridae. The record is from RNAcentral.